CUGCGGGAGGUGGCAGAAGGAUCCACCGCGUUCCCAGGUCUGUGUUGUCUCUGGUCCCCACGAGCGCAGCUUUGAGCGAGCAGCUGCCCCGGGCCGGUUCCUGAAGGAAAAGGGCAAAUUUUAGCCAUUUCCACACAAAACUACAGAACAGAGAUGGUGCAGUUUCUGUGCACACAGCAAACGUGGCAGAAACAGCUGCUGAGCAAGCCGCCUGAAGUCACCAAGCUGCUGGCAACAAGGUCACAGUAAAGCAGAGAAGUCACCUGAGGAGCACGGACACCCCAGCAAAACUGGGUUUGCACAGCCAAGAGACCACGAAGGGCCCUCUUAAAAGACGCUGGUACCUGCUGCCGUGCAGUCUGACCGGGCUGUUUCGUUACCUCCUGCUGCUCCUCGUCCAAAGGCGGCUUGCAUCAUUGCAGACCUUUCACACACCACCGGCCGCAGCGAUCGGCUUCUGAUUGCCACCAAAUUGUCCCGUCGCUCUGACAUCAGGGAAUUCGGGCGCUUUGAAGCGUUUCUGGCCCCCCCGUCCUCCUA
This 540-nucleotide long non-coding RNA is filed under the name Columba livia (rock pigeon). Its description in RNAcentral is "partial uncharacterized LOC102084910". Lineage: Eukaryota; Metazoa; Chordata; Aves; Columbiformes; Columbidae. The record is from RNAcentral.